AGCAGAGUGGCGCAGCGGAAGCGUGCUGGGCCCAUAACCAAGAGGUCGAUGGUUCGAAACCAUCCUCUGCUA
Molecule: transfer RNA, 72 nt
Filed under: Ameiurus melas (black bullhead)
Lineage: Eukaryota; Metazoa; Chordata; Actinopteri; Siluriformes; Ictaluridae
Rfam family: tRNA
About the family: Transfer RNA (tRNA) molecules are approximately 80 nucleotides in length. Their secondary structure includes four short double-helical elements and three loops (D, anti-codon, and T loops).
Source: Rfam by way of RNAcentral